RNAcentral lists this ribosomal RNA (253 nucleotides) under uncultured bacterium. Its description in RNAcentral is "partial 16S ribosomal RNA". It matches the Rfam family "Bacterial small subunit ribosomal RNA", at positions 524 to 776 of the family's 1533-position model. The record is from RNAcentral.
UACGUAGGGUGCGAGCGUUGUCCGGAAUUACUGGGCGUAAAGCGCACGUAGGCGGCUUUGUAAGUUAGAGGUGAAAGCCCGGGGCUCAACUCCGGAAUUGCCUUUAAGACUGCAUCGCUAGAAUUGUGGAGAGGUAAGUGGAAUUCCGAGUGUAGAGGUGAAAUUCGUAGAUAUUCGGAAGAACACCAGUGGCGAAGGCGACUUACUGGACACAUAUUGACGCUGAGACGCGAAAGCGUGGGGAGCAAACAGG